AUGGCGAUGGGCAGCAUGAGGUUGAUGUUGAGGGCCUUGACCUUGAUGGUGGUGCAAAGGCAGAGAGCAGCGUCGAGGUCGGCAACGCCGGACAGCAGCGGGCAGCAUGUAUUCCUGGCGCUACUGCCGAUCACCGCGUGCAACAGCCCAUUGAGCGCGUCCACGCACGCAAGUAGCUUCAGUGUGUCCACGGGGCACUUGCCGGUCGAUGUAGCCGGC
This 219-nucleotide ribosomal RNA is filed under the name Triticum aestivum (bread wheat). RNAcentral describes it as "partial small subunit ribosomal RNA". The record is from RNAcentral. Lineage: Eukaryota; Viridiplantae; Streptophyta; Magnoliopsida; Poales; Poaceae.